RNAcentral lists this ribosomal RNA (403 nucleotides) under bacterium. Its description in RNAcentral is "partial 16S ribosomal RNA". It matches the Rfam family "Bacterial small subunit ribosomal RNA", at positions 355 to 776 of the family's 1533-position model. The record is from RNAcentral. RNAcentral also lists the same sequence under 2 other names.
UGGGGAAUAUUGCACAAUGGAGGGAACUCUGAUGCAGCGACGCCGCGUGAACGAAGAAGGCUUUCGAGUCGUAAAGUUCUUUUAUAUGGGAAGAUAAUGACGGUACCAUAAGAAAAAGCCCCGGCUAACUACGUGCCAGCAGCCGCGGUAAUACGUAGGGGGCUAGCGUUGUCCGGAAUCACUGGGCGUAAAGGGUUCGCAGGCGGAAAUGCAAGUCAGGUGUAAAAGGCAGUAGCUUAACUACUGUAAGCAUUUGAAACUGCAUAUCUUGAGAAGAGUAGAGGUAAGUGGAAUUUUUAGUGUAGCGGUGAAAUGAGUAGAUAUUAAAAAGAAUACCGGUGGCGAAGGCGACUUACUGGGCUCAUUCUGACGCUGAGGAACGAAAGCGUGGGUAGCAAACAGG